CUUCCAUCUAGGAAGAAUCUGGAGACAGGUGCUGCAUGGCUGUCGUCAGCUCGUGUCGUGAGAUGUUGGGUUAAGUCCCGCAACGAGCGCAACCCUUGCCUUUAGUUGCCAGCAGUUCGGCUGGGCACUCUAAAGGGACUGCCGGUGUUAAACCGGAGGAAGGUGGGGAUGACGUCAAGUCCUCAUGGCCUUUAUGACCAGGGCUACACACGUACUACAAUGGCCGAUACAAAGGGCAGCGACACUGCGAGGUGAAGCCAAUCCCGUAAAAUCGGUCUCAGUCCGGAUUGGAGUCUGCAACUCGACUCCAUGAAGUUGGAAUCGCUAGUAAUCGUGGAUCAGCAUGCCACGGUGAAUACGUUCCCGGGCCUU
RNAcentral lists this ribosomal RNA (372 nucleotides) under uncultured Desulfobulbus sp. RNAcentral's name for it is "bacterial SSU rRNA". It matches the Rfam family "Bacterial small subunit ribosomal RNA", at positions 1010 to 1382 of the family's 1533-position model. Lineage: Bacteria; Pseudomonadati; Thermodesulfobacteriota; Desulfobulbia; Desulfobulbales; Desulfobulbaceae. The record is from RNAcentral.